Molecule: ribosomal RNA, 852 nt
Filed under: Monacha devrekensis
Lineage: Eukaryota; Metazoa; Mollusca; Gastropoda; Stylommatophora; Hygromiidae
Description: partial 16S ribosomal RNA
Source: RNAcentral
GUGCUCUACAAAAUUUUAAGUAUUAAAAAUCACGAAACCAAUUGAGCUAAUUUUUAUUUAAAUUUUUUAGAAUGCGAUAUAGCGUAGUAUAGCUAAUUUAUUAUUAAAAUUUAGGGGUGAAAGGCCUUACAAAUUUGGGGAUAUCUUGAUAUUAAGGAAAUAUAUUUAGUAUAUAAUCAACCUAAAAAUGGUGAGGUUUUUGGGUCAUAUAUUGUUAGAUAUAACUGUACUUGGAAUUUUUAACAAAUACCUAACUACAAAAAUAAUAUUAAUUACUUUUUAUUUUAAUAAAUAAUACUUAAUUAGUAAGUCUAGUUGAUCAUUUAGUAAAUAAUGAUCUCAUUAGUAUCAAAUAUAAAAUUUACUUAAGGAACUCGGCAAAAAUAAAUUCUCGACUGUUUAACAAAAACAUAGCUUUAAGUUAAAAUUUAAAGUACAACCUGCUCAAUGAAAAUUAAAUAGCCGCAGUACCUUGACUGUGCAAAGGUAGCAUAAUCAGUUGGCUUAUAAUUGAAGUCUAGUAUGAAUGGGAAUCCGGGAAUUGACUGUCUUAAUUAAAGAUUUAGAAAUUAUUUAUUAGGUGAAAAUCCCUAAAAAUAGAAAAAAGACGAGAAGACCCUAGAAAUUUUAUUAAAAUUUUUUUCUUUUAUUUUGUUGGGGCGACAAGGUAACAAUUAACUUACCUAAAUAAUAGGAAACUAAUUAGUGGUAUAAUCAAAUUACUCUAGGGAUAACAGCAUAAUAUUUAAAAGAUUGUGACCUCGAUGUUGGACUAGGGAGAGAAGCACUUAAAAGGCACUUUUAUUAGCUCUGUUCGAGCAAAAAACCCUACAUGAUCUGAGUUCAGACCGG